ACACGUAGGGGGCGAGCGUUGUCCGGAAUUACUGGGCGUAAAGGGCGUGUAGGCGGUCUAUUAAGUCAGGCGUGAAACCCCUAGGCUUAACCUGGGGAGUGCGUUUGAGACUGGUAGGCUUGAGGGCAGGAGAGGAAAGUGGAAUUCCCGGUGUAGCGGUGAUAUGCGUAGAUACCGGGAGGAACACCAGUGGCGAAGGCGGCUUUCUGGACUGCACCUGACGCUGAGGCGCGAAAGCCAGGGGAGCGAACGGGAUUAGAUACCCCGGUAGUCCUGGCCGUAAACGAUGGGUACUAGGUGUGGGAGGUAUCGACUCCUUCCGUGCCGGAGUUAACACAAUAAGUACCCCGCCUGGGGAGUACGGCCGCAAGGCUGAA
This 377-nucleotide ribosomal RNA is filed under the name uncultured bacterium. RNAcentral describes it as "bacterial SSU rRNA". It matches the Rfam family "Bacterial small subunit ribosomal RNA", at positions 523 to 898 of the family's 1533-position model. The record is from RNAcentral.